AUUGAACGCUGGCGGCAUGCCUUACACAUGCAAGUCGAACGGCAGCACGGGAGCAAUCCUGGUGGCGAGUGGCGAACGGGUGAGUAAUAUAUCGGAACGUGCCCGGUCGUGGGGAUAACGUAGCGAAAGCUACGCUAAUACCGCAUACGAUCUACGGAUGAAAGCGGGGGAUCGCAAGACCUCGCGCGAUUGGAGCGGCCGAUAUCAGAUUAGGUAGUUGGUGAGGUAAAGGCUCACCAAGCCGACGAUCUGUAGCUGGUCUGAGAGGACGACCAGCCACACUGGGACUGAGACACGGCCCAGACUCCUACGGGAGGCAGCAGUGGGGAAUUUUGGACAAUGGGCGCAAGCCUGAUCCAGCAAUGCCGCGUGCAGGAUGAAGGCCUCGGUUGUAACUGCUUUGUACGGUAACGAAACGGUA
This 421-nucleotide ribosomal RNA is filed under the name uncultured bacterium. RNAcentral describes it as "bacterial SSU rRNA". It matches the Rfam family "Bacterial small subunit ribosomal RNA", at positions 30 to 455 of the family's 1533-position model. The record is from RNAcentral.